GCAUCCGCGACUUAGACCGCGACUCGAGUCGCCAUUCCCGCGGCUGUCAAAUCUGUCGAUUUCCGUAGCAUAACUUGUACCCGCGACUGCAACAGCCGCGUAGAGAACUCAAAGUCGCGGCGCGACUCGUCAGUGUUACCCGGCGAAAUCAAAGUCUAAACAAAUCGAUAUUUGCAAGUGGCAACACUGAAUCGGAAACCAGGGAUGCGCUAAAUCAUUCGUUCUUUGGUGGUAAAAAAUCUGGUUUUUUGUCGAUGGUUAAGUUUUUCCUGUCAAAGUCAAGGAACUUCCAAAUUUUGUCAACAUUUAAUUACGGGAAAAAUAUGAAAAAAAUAAUAAGUUCAGCAUUAUCCUAGACACGAUUGAUAUCCCAGCACCCAAAGGAAAAUAUUGUUAACAGGAACGUGCCAACGGGACCCGAAGUGGAGAGUCAGGAAAAGAAACACACUAGGCAAGCUUGGUGAUAUUUAAUUAUCCUACGCCGCAUGUCGAAGAAAAAGGAAGAGAGACAAUACUUUUCAAGGGUAAUAAAGAAGAUUCUUACAAUUUCUCUAUUGUGGUUCUAGAUGUUAAUAUAUAUUAGGUUUAAUAAUAAGUCGAAUAUUGCAAGAAUAUAUAAGGCAAAGCAAUAUAUUAUUAAUUUAAAUAUUGUUUUUUUUUCUCUCCUGUAUUUUUACCUGAAAAGAAACAAAAAUAAAGUAGGUAGGUACCUAGAACUCCUAGAAGCCAUGAUUAGCUCCCCAAGGCCCACUUUAUACCUAAUGCUGACAACAACGUAUCAUAGCAUGAUCGUAUCAGGCUCUGUCAAACAUGAAGUGAAACAUCUAGAACACGGGUAUGAUCUAGAGGAGUUUCAAUAUGAUAACCGUACCUAUGCUACGCAGACUAUGACAUGAGCGUAACGACUCCUUCAAAUUAUUGUUGGUCGGCUCGGUCCAGUCACGUCACGGUAUGGUGUUGGCAGGGGAUGGAAUGGUUUAGUGGGUGAUGACUGAUAAUAUUUCAUACAAAGCAUGAUUUUGAGCCGGACAUGAUCCUGUUAUAGCCACGUAUUACAUGUACGAUACUGCGGGCACAGGCCACAUGUAGGUAUGUUUUGUUGAAGUCGAGGAAGGUUCCAAACGGUACCUAAAUAGUAAGAGAUUGUUGAAAUUAGACAUCUAACCGUGAUCCUAAAUAUUACUACUAAGACUAAGGCUUACUUAAUAAGUUGGAUAGUUUGUUUUGAACAUUUGUACCUACCCACCUCAUCGGCUACGUUUAUGUACAAGCAAGCGGGCUCCGUUGUUAGGUUGAUGAAAGUUUUGUGUAAGGAAGUCUUAGGAUUACUUUUAUAAACUUACGAACCUGAAUUGAAAUUUAAAAAUCAUACAUAUGUAGCUAUUUACUUAAUUGAGUACCUACAUGCUAGCUGUUUGAAAUUAAAGUUGUAAACAUGAUGGGUGUGUUGUGGUACUUGUAGGUAUCACCGUGCAUAAUCAUCGAUAGAAGAGUGCGUAAAGCGCAUGUAGUGACUGUUCCACACUUCCUUAUUCCUUAGGGCAAUAAGUAAUUAUACAAAUUAUAUUAUUACAUAAUAUAUGAAACUUGUUUUUAAGUUAUAAUUAUCAUGAGUUUAGUUAAAAAAGUACAAGCAAACCACCCGCGAGAGCGUGUCGCGUUAUAAAGUCGCGUAGACUUCGACUCGCGGAUUGACAUAAAGACGAGAGAAUAUUUUGUCUCUAAAUAGGCAGUUGUGCUACGGAUUUUAGUUCAAAGUCGCGAUCGUUGUCAUUUUCUGACAGUGACACCUGAUCGCGAGUUUGUCGCGGCUCUCGCGCGUGAGUUGUGCUGCCAACACGCGACAAGCCGCCAAGUCGCGCCGAUCUGUCACUUCUCGCGCCUGUCGCGGCCAGUUGUGCUAGAGGUGCU
Long non-coding RNA from Cydia fagiglandana, 1911 nucleotides. RefSeq lists it as uncharacterized. The transcript is spliced from 3 exons. The record is from RefSeq and is a predicted model, not a curated record. NCBI's taxonomy places the organism in Eukaryota, Metazoa, Arthropoda, Insecta, Lepidoptera, Tortricidae.